This 1083-nucleotide ribosomal RNA is filed under the name Psychrobacter pulmonis. RNAcentral's name for it is "bacterial SSU rRNA". It matches the Rfam family "Bacterial small subunit ribosomal RNA", at positions 114 to 1195 of the family's 1533-position model. Lineage: Bacteria; Pseudomonadati; Pseudomonadota; Gammaproteobacteria; Moraxellales; Moraxellaceae. The record is from RNAcentral.
UACAUAGGAAUCUACCUAGUAGUGGGGGAUAGCUCGGGGAAACUCGAAUUAAUACCGCAUACGACCUACGGGGGAAAGGGGGCAACUUGUUGCUCUCGCUAUUAGAUGAGCCUAAGUCGAUUAGCUAGAUGGUGGGGUAAAGGCCUACCAUGGCGACGAUCUGUAGCUGGUCUGAGAGGAUGAUCAGCCACACCGGGACUGAGACACGGCCCGGACUCCUACGGGAGGCAGCAGUGGGGAAUAUUGGACAAUGGGGGCAACCCUGAUCCAGCCAUGCCGCGUGUGUGAAGAAGGCCUUUUGGUUGUAAAGCACUUUAAGCAGUGAAGAAGACUCCAUGGUUAAUACCCAUGGACGAUGACAUUAGCUGCAGAAUAAGCACCGGCUAACUCUGUGCCAGCAGCCGCGGUAAUACAGAGGGUGCAAGCGUUAAUCGGAAUUACUGGGCGUAAAGCGAGCGUAGGUGGCUUGAUAAGUCAGAUGUGAAAGCCCCGGGCUUAACCUGGGAACGGCAUCUGAUACUGUUAGGCUAGAGUAGGUGAGAGGAAGGUAGAAUUCCAGGUGUAGCGGUGAAAUGCGUAGAGAUCUGGAGGAAUACCGAUGGCGAAGGCAGCCUUCUGGCAUCAUACUGACACUGAGGUUCGAAAGCGUGGGUAGCAAACAGGAUUAGAUACCCUGGUAGUCCACGCCGUAAACGAUGUCUACUAGUCGUUGGGUCCCUUGAGGACUUAGUGACGCAGCUAACGCAAUAAGUAGACCGCCUGGGGAGUACGGCCGCAAGGUUAAAACUCAAAUGAAUUGACGGGGGCCCGCACAAGCGGUGGAGCAUGUGGUUUAAUUCGAUGCAACGCGAAGAACCUUACCUGGUCUUGACAUAUCUAGAAUCCUGCAGAGAUGCGGGAGUGCCUUCGGGAAUUAGAAUACAGGUGCUGCAUGGCUGUCGUCAGCUCGUGUCGUGAGAUGUUGGGUUAAGUCCCGCAACGAGCGCAACCCUUGUCCUUAGUUACCAGCGGUUUGGCCCGGGAACCUCUAAGGAUACUGCCAGUGACAAACUGGAGGAAGGCGGGGACGACGUCAAGUCAUCA